AAAUUGAAGAGUUUGAUCAUGGCUCAGAUUGAACGCUGGCGGCAGGCCUAACACAUGCAAGUCGAACGGUAACAGGAAACAGCUUGCUGUUUCGCUGACGAGUGGCGGACGGGUGAGUAAUGUCUGGGAAACUGCC
This 136-nucleotide ribosomal RNA is filed under the name Escherichia coli. RNAcentral describes it as "partial 16S ribosomal RNA". It matches the Rfam family "Bacterial small subunit ribosomal RNA", at positions 1 to 130 of the family's 1533-position model. RNAcentral also lists the same sequence under 7 other names. Lineage: Bacteria; Pseudomonadati; Pseudomonadota; Gammaproteobacteria; Enterobacterales; Enterobacteriaceae. The record is from RNAcentral.